GCAGAGAGCCGGGCAACUUUAGAAAUGUUAUCUGAAAUGUCACAAUAAGGACUGAAUUAUCACCUGUGUACAUUCUGAACAAACGGUACACUCACAUUUGAGGCUAGGAUGACAAGCAACCUUCCAUCCUAAAUGCACUGUUUUACUGGCAGUAGAAAGAAAGAUAUGAAGGAGAUGGAAGGUAUAAAGGACAAGGAAAGAAGAGGGAUCGGCAAUGGGAGAAGACACAACUAUAACCCACAGAUUUUAAUCCCUUUGUAGUAUGUGACAUUGUUAUAGUAAAUAUUUCCUAAUAACAUAGGCCGUUAGGUUUCAUAUUAAGGUCUCUGUCUUUCAAGAAGUUCUGUGUGGGUGAAUCCCCAUGUUGUGCAGAGGUCUGUACUCUAAAUUGUCCAAGGCAAAAUACAACUCAUCCUGUUACGUAACAUCCUUAUAACAGUCAGCAAAAGUUAAAGGUAGAAAGACUGAAUUAGUUCUUGAGAUGAUUUGGGAGUCUGUCUGUGCAAUUUAUGAUUCUGUGUGAGAUUGUGAACUCUCUGGAUGUAUCUUUACUAAGCUGCAAAAUCCAUUUUGAAAUGUGAGGACUAGUUGCCUUCUCUGUGGUCUCUUUGUCUUUGCCUCUAUAUUAGACUCAGAUUCCAAGUUGUAGGGUAGAGGGCUGACCACAGAGGGUCAUUAAAUCGGGAUGAUCCUCUAUUCAAAUACAAACAUCCUACACAGUAGGUGGGCUCCCACCCAGAAGAACUGGUGUGUCAUCCCCCGCACCCCGAAGUUGCCUGGCCACAGAGUCACUUGGCAGGGGUCAGUGAUCACCUGUUGAGGCUGAUCAGGACAUCACCUAACAGAGGAACUAUAAAGCCAAGGGCUAAUCUAU
Long non-coding RNA from Mauremys mutica (yellowpond turtle), 874 nucleotides. RefSeq lists it as uncharacterized. The record is from RefSeq and is a predicted model, not a curated record. The transcript is spliced from 3 exons. NCBI's taxonomy places the organism in Eukaryota, Metazoa, Chordata, Testudines, Geoemydidae.